CUUGUAUGAUCUUCAUAUCACAAAAAUUGAGCAAGUUAUGGUUCUUGGAAGUUGACCUUCUAUCUAGGGCAUAAACAAAAUGACCUAUAAUCUUUCACCAGAAAAAAUGACUUUCCAAGCAAAGUUAGCUCUUAAUGCCAACAUGAAAGUUGUUUGGAAAGUCAUAAAGAGUAAAUUUUCUCUUGGAAAUAUUUUCAUAUGAAAAACAUUGUAGGAUAUAGGGUCUAGGGAUCCCUAGAUUUGACUAG
RNAcentral lists this long non-coding RNA (248 nucleotides) under Lathyrus oleraceus (garden pea). RNAcentral describes it as "Pisum sativum (pea) long non-coding RNA (PSAT_LNC028358)". Lineage: Eukaryota; Viridiplantae; Streptophyta; Magnoliopsida; Fabales; Fabaceae. The record is from RNAcentral.